This 539-nucleotide ribosomal RNA is filed under the name uncultured bacterium. RNAcentral's name for it is "SSU rRNA". It matches the Rfam family "Bacterial small subunit ribosomal RNA", at positions 334 to 865 of the family's 1533-position model. The record is from RNAcentral.
CCCUCCUACGGGAGGCAGCAGUAGGGAAUCUUCGGCAAUGGACGAAAGUCUGACCGAGCAACGCCGCGUGAGUGAAGAAGGUUUUCGGAUCGUAAAACUCUGUUGUUAGAGAAGAACAAGGAUGAGAGUAACUGUUCAUCCCUUGACGGUAUCUAACCAGAAAGCCACGGCUAACUACGUGCCAGCAGCCGCGGUAAUACGUAGGUGGCAAGCGUUGUCCGGAUUUAUUGGGCGUAAAGCGAGCGCAGGCGGUUUCUUAAGUCUGAUGUGAAAGCCCCCGGCUCAACCGGGGAGGGUCAUUGGAAACUGGGAGACUUGAGUGCAGAAGAGGAGAGUGGAAUUCCAUGUGUAGCGGUGAAAUGCGUAGAUAUAUGGAGGAACACCAGUGGCGAAGGCGGCUCUCUGGUCUGUAACUGACGCUGAGGCUCGAAAGCGUGGGGAGCAAACAGGAUUAGAUACCCUGGUAGUCCACGCCGUAAACGAUGAGUGCUAAGUGUUGGAGGGUUUCCGCCCUUCAGUGCUGCAGCUAACGCAUAAGC